UGGAUCCAGACUUUGAUUCUGGCUCAGGAUGAACGCUAGCUACAGGCUUAACACAUGCAAGUCGAGGGGAAACGACAUCGAAAGCUUGCUUUUGAUGGGCGUCGACCGGCGCACGGGUGAGUAACGCGUAUCCAACCUGCCCAUCACUUGGGGAUAACCUUGCGAAAGUAAGACUAAUACCCAAUGAUAUCUCUAGAAGACAUCUGAAAGAGAUUAAAGAUUUAUCGGUGAUGGAUGGGGAUGCGUCUGAUUAGCUUGUUGGCGGGGUAACGGCCCACCAAGGCGACGAUCAGUAGGGGUUCUGAGAGGAAGGUCCCCCACAUUGGAACUGAGACACGGUCCAAACUCCUACGGGAGGCAGCAGUGAGGAAUAUUGGUCAAUGGACGAGAGUCUGAACCAGCCAAGUAGCGUGCAGGAUGACGGCCCUAUGGGUUGUAAACUGCUUUUAUAAGGGAAUAAAGUGAGAGUCGUGACUCUUUUUGCAUGUACCUUAUGAAUAAGGACCGGCUAAUUCCGUGCCAGCAGCC
This 528-nucleotide ribosomal RNA is filed under the name uncultured Bacteroidota bacterium. RNAcentral describes it as "bacterial SSU rRNA". It matches the Rfam family "Bacterial small subunit ribosomal RNA", at positions 1 to 516 of the family's 1533-position model. The record is from RNAcentral. Lineage: Bacteria; Pseudomonadati; Bacteroidota.